This 517-nucleotide ribosomal RNA is filed under the name uncultured bacterium. RNAcentral's name for it is "bacterial SSU rRNA". It matches the Rfam family "Bacterial small subunit ribosomal RNA", at positions 8 to 518 of the family's 1533-position model. The record is from RNAcentral.
AGAGUUUGAUUAUGGCUCAGGAUGAACGCUAGCGACAGGCUAGCACAUGCAAGUCGAGGGGCAGCAUAAAAGUAGCAAUACUUGGUGGCGACCGGCGCACGGGUGAGUAACGCGUAUGCAACCUACCUAUCAGGAGGGGAAUAACCCGGCGAAAGUCGGACUAAUACCGCAUAAAACAGGGGCACCGCAUGGUGAUAUUUGUUAAAGAAAUUCGCUGAUAGAUGGGCAUGCGUUCCAUUAGGUAGUUGGUGAGGUAACGGCUCACCAAGCCGACGAUGGAUAGGGGAACUGAGAGGUUGGUCCCCCACACUGGUACUGAGACACGGACCAGACUCCUACGGGAGGCAGCAGUGAGGAAUAUUGGUCAAUGGGCGGGAGCCUGAACCAGCCAAGUCGCGUGAAGGAAGAAGGAUCUAUGGUUCGUAAACUUCUUUUGCAGGGGAAUAAAGUGCAGGACGUGUCCUGUUUUGUACGUACCCUGAGAAUAAGGAUCGGCUAACUCCGUGCCAGCCGCCGC